UGCAUUCAUUACUGUAAGUCGCUCUGGAUAAGAGCGUCUGCUAAAUGACUCAAA
Salmo salar (Atlantic salmon) is the source of this 54-nucleotide non-coding RNA. The record is from Rfam. Lineage: Eukaryota; Metazoa; Chordata; Actinopteri; Salmoniformes; Salmonidae.